AUACGUAGGGAGCGAGCGUUGUCCGGAAUUACUGGGUGUAAAGGGUGCGUAGGCGGGACUGCAAGUCAGAUGUGAAAUGCCGGGGCUCAACCCCGGAGCUGCAUUUGAAACUGUGGUUCUUGAGUGAGGUAGAGGUAAGCGGAAUUCCUAGUGUAGCGGUGAAAUGCGUAGAUAUUAGGAGGGACAUCGGUGGCGAAGGCGGCUUACUGGGCCUUUACUGACGCAGAGGCACGAAAGCGUGGGGAGCAAACAGGAUUAGAUACCCUGGUAAUCCACGCUGUAAACGAUGAUGACUAGGUGUGGGGGGACUGAACCCUUCCGUGCCGCAGUUAACACAAUAAGUCAUCCACCUGGGGAGUACGGCCGCAAGGUUGAAACUCAAAUGAAUUGACGGGG
RNAcentral lists this ribosomal RNA (396 nucleotides) under uncultured bacterium. Its description in RNAcentral is "partial 16S ribosomal RNA". It matches the Rfam family "Bacterial small subunit ribosomal RNA", at positions 523 to 918 of the family's 1533-position model. The record is from RNAcentral.